UUCAGGGUUGUGUGUGGCAAAACAUGUCCCUCUGUGUAUGCGUCCUGCUGCGUAAAUAGCAUGGGUCAAUGGCUAGUCCAGUGGCAGGGCUGUUGUUCCCUACUCUCGAUAUUGCCACAGUAGCGUUGUGGUAUUUAGACCUAACGGACAGGCUGAGGAAUGGAAGGAGAAUGCCUGUUUUCUGUAAGGGCUCGGAAUGCCGACCCUUUUCUCUGCCUGCCGCUCCCCUGUGCGUGAGAUGAAGCUGUUUUAUUUUUCUCCCUUGUUCCUGGUCUAAAUAUUUCUGAAGCUGUUGCUGCUGUGGGUUUGCAAUUUGUGUUACUGCAUUUUUGUAGCAUUCUAGGUAUGGGUCAUUUCUGCUGUGGUGAAGUGUCGAGAUACGGUUUUCGGUUUAAAGCAUCAGAAACUACAUUCACUGAAACCGGUAACUCACGGCGUAGGUGAAACCGAUGUGGCGUGUGCAGCUGUGCUCGCAGGGAUGCUCAGUGGCUCCUCAUCAAAACGGCAAGGUGGAUGUCAGCUGCCACCAUUUCACUGCGGUUGCCCUUUCUUCUGCCAUGAAAGUACAAGACACAUGGAAAGAUUCUAUAGUGGUCUGUGAGUACAAGGUUUUCCCAAGAAGCAUUAGCAGCCUUGUAACUAGUGACAGUGAGUCCUGAGGUGGUUUUGGUGAGUUACUGCUUCAAUAAUGUAUUUUUAUUGGAUGUAUAUAAACAUGGGCACACCUUUUUAGUAUAAAGU
Long non-coding RNA from Harpia harpyja (harpy eagle), 741 nucleotides. RefSeq lists it as uncharacterized. The transcript has 3 exons. The record is from RefSeq and is a predicted model, not a curated record. NCBI's taxonomy places the organism in Eukaryota, Metazoa, Chordata, Aves, Accipitriformes, Accipitridae.